CCUAAAUUAUUAAUAGAUAUAAUCUUUAAAUUUGAAGAAUUUGGCGGUGGUUUAGUCUUGUUAGAGGAACCUGUUUUUGGAUCGAUAAACCACGUAGAAUUUUACUUAUUUUAUUAGUUUGUAUACCGUCAUUAUCAGAUGAUUUUUAAAGAAUUAAUCAUUAAAAUUUUUUUUGAAAAUUAAAUUAGAUCAAGGUGCAGCUUAUGAAUAAGUUAAAAUGGGUUACAAUAGAAUUUAUCUAUACGGAGUAAUAGUAGGAAGUAUCUAUAUGAAGGUGGAUUUAAUUGUAAUAGAAAUUUAAUAAGUUUAAAAGAUAUAAGCUCUAGAUCAU
Molecule: ribosomal RNA, 331 nt
Filed under: Cyclodius granulosus
Lineage: Eukaryota; Metazoa; Arthropoda; Malacostraca; Decapoda; Xanthidae
Description: partial 12S ribosomal RNA
Source: RNAcentral